This 253-nucleotide ribosomal RNA is filed under the name uncultured bacterium. Its description in RNAcentral is "partial 16S ribosomal RNA". It matches the Rfam family "Bacterial small subunit ribosomal RNA", at positions 524 to 776 of the family's 1533-position model. The record is from RNAcentral.
UACGUAGGGUCCGAGCGUUGUCCGGAAUCACUGGGCGUAAAGGGCGCGUAGGCGGUCUCUUAAGCGUGUGGUGAAAGCCCGGGGCUCAACCUCGGAUCGGCCGUGGCGACUCGUGGGCUGGAGCACUGUAGAGGCGGGUGGAAUUCCGGGUGUAGCGGUGGAAUGCGUAGAGAUCCGGAAGAACACCAGUGGCGAAGGCGGCCCGCUGGGCAGUGGCUGACGCUGAGGCGCGACAGCGUGGGGAGCGAACAGG